This 490-nucleotide ribosomal RNA is filed under the name uncultured bacterium. RNAcentral's name for it is "partial 16S ribosomal RNA". It matches the Rfam family "Bacterial small subunit ribosomal RNA", at positions 30 to 507 of the family's 1533-position model. The record is from RNAcentral.
AUUGAACGCUGGCGGCAGGCCUAACACAUGCAAGUCGAACGGUAACAGGAAACAGCUUGCUGUUUCGCUGACGAGUGGCGGACGGGUGAGUAAUGUCUGGGAAGCUGCCUGAUGGAGGGGGAUAACUACUGGAAACGGUAGCUAAUACCGCAUAACGUCGCAAGACCAAAGAGGGGGACCUUCGGGCCUCUUGCCAUCGGAUGUGCCCAGAUGGGAUUAGCUAGUAGGUGGGGUAACGGCUCACCUAGGCGACGAACCCUAGCUGGUCUGAGAGGAUGACCAGCCACACUGGAACUGAGACACGGUCCAGACUCCUACGGGAGGCAGCAGUGGGGAAUAUUGCACAAUGGGCGCAAGCCUGAUGCAGCCAUGCCGCGUGUAUGAAGAAGGCCUUCGGGUUGUAAAGUACUUUCAGCGGGGAGGAAGGGAGUAAAGUUAAUACCUUUGCUCAUUGACGUUACCCGCAGAAGAAGCACCGGCUAACUCCGUG